Molecule: ribosomal RNA, 649 nt
Filed under: Pseudomonas sp. AaD4a
Lineage: Bacteria; Pseudomonadati; Pseudomonadota; Gammaproteobacteria; Pseudomonadales; Pseudomonadaceae
Description: bacterial SSU rRNA
Rfam family: Bacterial small subunit ribosomal RNA
Source: RNAcentral
UGAACGCUGGCGGCAGGCCUAACACAUGCAAGUCGAGCGGAUGACGGGAGCUUGCUCCUGGAUUCAGCGGCGGACGGGUGAGUAAUGCCUAGGAAUCUGCCUGGUAGUGGGGGACAACGUUUCGAAAGGAACGCUAAUACCGCAUACGUCCUACGGGAGAAAGCAGGGGACCUUCGGGCCUUGCGCUAUCAGAUGAGCCUAGGUCGGAUUAGCUUGUUGGUGAGGUAAUGGCUCACCAAGGCGACGAUCCGUAACUGGUCUGAGAGGAUGAUCAGUCACACUGGAACUGAGACACGGUCCAGACUCCUACGGGAGGCAGCAGUGGGGAAUAUUGGACAAUGGGCGAAAGCCUGAUCCAGCCAUGCCGCGUGUGUGAAGAAGGUCUUCGGAUUGUAAAGCACUUUAAGUUGGGAGGAAGGGUUGUAGAUUAAUACUCUGCAAUUUUGACGUUACCGACAGAAUAAGCACCGGCUAACUCUGUGCCAGCAGCCGCGGUAAUACAGAGGGUGCAAGCGUUAAUCGGAAUUACUGGGCGUAAAGCGCGCGUAGGUGGUUUGUUAAGUUGGAUGUGAAAGCCCCGGGCUCAACCUGGGAACUGCAUCCAAAACUGGCAAGCUAGAGUACGGUAGAGGGUGGUGGAAUUUCGUGU